UUAAGUCAGGCAACGAGCGAGACCCGCACUCCUAAUUGCCAGCAACACCCUUGUGGUGGUUGGGUACAUUAGGAGGACUGCCAGUGCCAAACUGGAGGAAGGAACGGGCAACGGUAGGUCAGUAUGCCCCGAAUGAGCUGGGCUACACGCGGGCUACAAUGGCCGAGACAAUGGGAUGCAACCCCGAGAGGGGGCGCUAAUCUCCGAAACUCGGUCGUAGUUCGGAUUGCGGGCUGAAACUCGCCCGCAUGAAGCUGGAUUCGGUAGUAAUCGCAUCUCAAGAGGGUGCGGUGAAUACGUCCCUGCUCCUUGCACA
Molecule: ribosomal RNA, 316 nt
Filed under: uncultured archaeon
Lineage: Archaea
Description: bacterial SSU rRNA
Rfam family: Archaeal small subunit ribosomal RNA
Source: RNAcentral